Long non-coding RNA from Rosa chinensis, 1626 nucleotides. RefSeq lists it as uncharacterized. The transcript has 7 exons. The record is from RefSeq and is a predicted model, not a curated record. Lineage: Eukaryota; Viridiplantae; Streptophyta; Magnoliopsida; Rosales; Rosaceae.
GAAACCUCUCUCCUCUGAGCCAAAAGCUCAGAGCUAUCUCUUAAUCAUCUCAUCCAAAACCUUCAAAUUCCAAAUCUCCUUAUCUUCAUCUCAUUCAAUUGCUUCCCCGAUUUGAAUCCCAAACUUCAAUUCAACUCUACCAUCUCCAGUUCACCGUAUUUUUCUACCAAAAUGGCAUUCCUUGGCUGCUGUUAGCCUUUUCUAGGUCGUCUUUCUUUGUCUCUGAGACCGCACAACACCAAAUCUUCACCUUCCUAUUUCAAUUUUCUCUUGUGGGGAUCUGCGUCACCCUAGGGUUUUCCUAUUUCAUGGCCCAAAACCUAGCCUCCCCCGCUAGUGGCUAUGUUGUCCACCAAUGCUGGGUUAGAUCUCUCCUGUUCGAUACCAACCAGAAGGCCAAUCUCGACCCCUCCGACGCCAUAACUGCGGCAAGGUUCUCUGAAAGGAAGAAGAAGAAGUCAUUGAAGAUGAGAAAGUUCAAUGCUUGGCUUGUGUUCUUCAUGCGCGAGUGGAAUUGGAAUUGGCCUUUCCUCGUCGGCUUCGCUAUCACCGGGAUUCUCAUCACCAAGUUCUCUCUCUGUCUCACUGGGUACUCCACUCCAUUUCUCUUUCUCAUUCUAUGAAUAUGAGUCCCUUUAAGUGAGCUAGGGUUUUGAUUUGAUUUGUUUCAGGGUUCUAAUUUUGCAAAGGAGGAUGCGAAGAACUCGCCUUUUGUACAGAGGCACAAGAACUCUGGUGCAGGAAGUGGUGGUCAAGUUGCCAAAGAUGCUCUAGGAAACGAUGCAAUUGCAGCAGAAUGGCUUCAGACUCAUGGGCCUGGUGACAAGACUCUCUCACAUAUACCUAAAUGAGGAUAAAUCACGGUUUGCUCUAUAUAAGGAGAAAGAGUUUAAAGUUGCAGUUCUCCUUAUUUUUGACAAUAGGCAGGAAGUAAAAAAUGUAUGAUAGGAGAUUUGGAGUUCGCUAGAAAAGCUCUGCCUAUAUGAUCAAAGAACACGAAUUCUGGAAUUCAGGUACUCAUAUGGUAGUUAUUCAGGAUUUGUAAUCACACUUUAAGUAGAUAUUAUGCAAUGUGAAACCAACCCAGGCCUAAUUCUUCAACCACUGACAAGGAACUUGCUUCUAUGAUCGAAAGUGUUUCCGAGAAACAACAUUUUACCGCAAAAUGGCUUCAACUGCCGAGAUUGGAUGGGAUUUUAGUACAAGAUGGAUGAGGUAGAUUUUUGAAACAGGGAGAAGUAAUUGAUUUAGCAUUUAUACUCCUACAUUAACAAUUUAUUGAAAGCACAAUAGAGAAUGUUUUGAGUUUGUCUUUCAUGUCACUGCACAAGAUUAUGAGAAGUAAACGAGGCAGGUCAUUUAAUUGAAGAGCUUGCUCUUGUUUCCGUGCAAGAGCCAUAUAUGUAGGAGUGGACUGAGCAAUUGGAAAGCAGUGACCGAUUUAUGUAGGAGCCAUAUAUGUAGCAUCUGCAUAUAUAUGUGCAUAUUUUUGGAACAAGUAUAUAUUGUAUCUACUUUUAUUGUUUAUCAUUGUUAGUUAAAAUGCAGCAGUCAUCAAGCUGCUGUCUUCUUUUUUUGUUUCAUUGUAUAGAUACUUGAAUGUAUGGAUGAUUGACAAAUGCUAGC